This 75-nucleotide transfer RNA is filed under the name Bacteroidetes bacterium ADurb.Bin013. Its description in RNAcentral is "tRNA-Pro". Lineage: Bacteria; Pseudomonadati; Bacteroidota. The record is from RNAcentral. RNAcentral also lists the same sequence under 2 other names.
CGGGGUGUAGCGCAGUUGGUUAGCGUUCCUGCUUUGGGAGCAGGGGGUCGUCCGUUCGAGUCGGACCACCCCGAC